GAAUUAAACAGAAAGUUUAUUCAGUAGGCUCCUGAACUGUUGCAUUUAGGGAAGGGGCAUUUAAAGGGCAAUUUUUCUAACUUUCGAAAGAAAAUUGAAAAAGCAGUUCUUGGAAUAAAAAUUUACAGAAAGGACAAGAACGCUGAUAGCAUGAGCCUUAACAUACGAACCUUAUGAUCUUUUCCCCAGCUCUGUCUAGAAUUUUCAGCUAUUGUCUAGUAUUUACAAUAUCAUUCCUGACACCACCUGUUGGUGUCAGAUUAAUGCGAUACUUAUUUUCCUGAAUAAAAAUAACAUCCGGCUACAGGAAUGAGUGCCUUAAAAUACAAUGUAUCUACUUUUAUUUCCUUCUUCACUCAAAGAGUUCUUUUCUGGGUCCCCAAUACAAACAAACUCUCAAAGUUAAAAGUA
RNAcentral lists this long non-coding RNA (411 nucleotides) under Bos taurus (domestic cattle). Its description in RNAcentral is "long non-coding RNA NONBTAT005842". Lineage: Eukaryota; Metazoa; Chordata; Mammalia; Artiodactyla; Bovidae. The record is from RNAcentral.